Molecule: long non-coding RNA, 240 nt
Filed under: Capsicum annuum
Lineage: Eukaryota; Viridiplantae; Streptophyta; Magnoliopsida; Solanales; Solanaceae
Description: long non-coding RNA (CANN_LNC002611)
Source: RNAcentral
UAAAACAACAAACUACAGAAGAAAUACGAAAAAUAGAAGAAACUAAAAAUAGUAGGAUUGCUGAAUUAGAAAAAGAACUACAAAUGUUAAAAGAGCUGUAUGAACAAAGGCAAAAAAAAAAGAAGAAAAAGAUAGAGAACAAAAAUUACUGAACGAGAUAAAUCAAUUUAAGGAAAAAUUGAAAAUAAAAAACAAAGAAUUAGAAAUAAAUAAUAUAGAUGUUGAAGAGACAGAUAAUUA